RNAcentral lists this ribosomal RNA (246 nucleotides) under Triticum aestivum (bread wheat). RNAcentral's name for it is "partial small subunit ribosomal RNA". The record is from RNAcentral. Lineage: Eukaryota; Viridiplantae; Streptophyta; Magnoliopsida; Poales; Poaceae.
AUGGAGAAGUGCAUGAAGCGCGCCCAAGCAAUAUUGUUCCUUCUUGUAUGCUUUGCUAUCCAUGCGCAAUGUAGAGGAAUAGGCGUGCAAGAUUAUGGAUACCAAGGGUGCACCUCUAAGGGUAAAAUACGCACAGGGUGCUAUACCUGUUUACCCCUCGAGGUGUGCUAUUCGACAUUGGCCGACUGCAAAGCCCACUGCACACGACCUCCGGUCACAAUCACCUCCCUGGUAGUUCCUCAUUAG